GAUGAACGCUAGCGGCAGGCUUAACACAUGCAAGUCGAGGGGUAACAGGAGUAGCUUGCUACUUGCUGACGACCGGCGCACGGGUGCGUAACGCGUAUAGAAUCUACCUUGUACUAGGGGAUAGCCUUUGGAAACGAAGAUUAAUACCCUAUAGUAAGUAUUUAUGGCAUCAUUUAUACUUUAAAGGUUACGGUACAAGAUGACUAUGCGUCCUAUUAGUUUGUUGGUGAGGUAACGGCUCACCAAGACUUCGAUAGGUAGGGGCCCUGAGAGGGGGAUCCCCCACACUGGUACUGAGACACGGACCAGACUCCUACGGGAGGCAGCAGUGAGGAAUAUUGGACAAUGGAGGCAACUCUGAUCCAGCCAUGCCGCGUGCAGGAUGACGGCCCUAUGGGUUGUAAACUGCUUUUAUGUAGGAAGAAACACUCUCACGUGUGAGAGCUUGACGGUACUACAAGAAUAAGGACCGGCUAACUCCGUGCCAGCAGCCGCGGUAAUACGGAGGGUCCAAGCGUUAUCCGGAAUCAUUGGGUUUAAAGGGUCCGUAGGCGGGCUAUUAAGUCAGAGGUGAAAGUUUGCAGCUCAACUGUAAAAUUGCCUUUGAAACUGGUAGUCUUGAAUUAUUAUGAAGUGGUUAGAAUAAGUAGUGUAGCGGUGAAAUGCAUAGAUAUUACUUAGAAUACCAAUUGCGAAGGCAGAUCACUAAUAAUAUAUGACGCUGAG
This 726-nucleotide ribosomal RNA is filed under the name bacterium IMCC7875. Its description in RNAcentral is "bacterial SSU rRNA". It matches the Rfam family "Bacterial small subunit ribosomal RNA", at positions 28 to 750 of the family's 1533-position model. The record is from RNAcentral.